AAUUCUGGGUUUUCUAUUUGAAUCGGAGAUCUAUGUUUCUAUGAAGGAUUUCCACCCUUGUAAAUUUUUAUCUUUAUAAAUAAGAUUCGAGAACUAGUUUUUUGAGUAUCGUCAUCGCUAAUUGACAUCUUGUUUGCUAUUUUUUAUGUUUUUUAUUUUUGAAAAUUUUGCCAAUUAAUAUUACUUCAGUUUUGAGUUUUAGGUGGACCAUUAGGAUUUUCUAUGAAAAGUUGUAAUCGAUAUCUUUUCCACCUUUAUGAUUGUGAACUGAUUCUAUGACGUAGGACAAUUUAAGGAACUACCUUCGUUUCAGCCGAACUCUUUUUUCAGUUUUUAAUUUAGACUUUGUAUCUGCUAAGUACACUUCAACACUUCGCUAAUAUGACAUGUUGGACACUGAGAAGAGUAAUUUUAGCACUGUAUUUUUAAAUUUAAAUUGGAUGCUCAAGUUCGAGUUCUAUUUAGAGGAUUGCUUUUCAACCUGCUUUGGAAUGAGAUAGUAGAUUCAUGUGAAUGAUGAUCUAUGGGUUUUGGCUAUUAAACUCUGUUUCAUUGCGAUUUCAGGUAGUCCAAUGUUUCAUUGGAAUUUCAAGUAGUUCCAAUAUAUGGUUCAGUUAAGAAGAUUAUUCUUAGCCUCUUUUGCGUAGCACGACACAUUUGGCCUUCUAGUCAGGUUGGAGUCAUAAUUCUUUCAGAUUUUAUUUACAUCUUAUGUUUAAGUUUGCACUUUGAUUUGUAUAUUGUAGGCCAUUAUUCUUAUCUAGCAUUAGAUGGAAAGAGCUGGUGAAUUGUUCAUUUGAACAUUCGGUUGAGCUAACAUUCAUUGUCUUAUAGGCAAAAUGUGUGCUCUAGCAUAUCAUAUUCUUAAUAUACUCUUGCUAAAAUGGUCCUGAGCUAAUUUAAUAAAUAUAUUAAGCAUAAAUAUGAAUUUUCAGCCAAGAAAACUGUCCUAAGUUACUUUUGAAAUUUGAUAGCGAUUGUUAUUUAACUCUCUUCCUUGACAGAGAAAGAGACAUAAAGUUGUGGCA
Molecule: long non-coding RNA, 1028 nt
Filed under: Nicotiana tabacum (common tobacco)
Lineage: Eukaryota; Viridiplantae; Streptophyta; Magnoliopsida; Solanales; Solanaceae
Description: long non-coding RNA (NTAB_LNC004553)
Source: RNAcentral